Molecule: non-coding RNA, 84 nt
Organism: Populus trichocarpa (black cottonwood)
Lineage: Eukaryota; Viridiplantae; Streptophyta; Magnoliopsida; Malpighiales; Salicaceae
Source: Rfam
CUUUUUAGGGUUAAACGUCAAUAUUUUGACGAAUCUUCUAUUUUUUGGUGUCAUUUUUUGACGUGUCUCUUAUUUUUAGGGACU